RNAcentral lists this transfer RNA (76 nucleotides) under Propionibacteriaceae bacterium. RNAcentral describes it as "tRNA-Lys". It matches the Rfam family "tRNA". From Rfam's summary of the family: Transfer RNA (tRNA) molecules are approximately 80 nucleotides in length. Their secondary structure includes four short double-helical elements and three loops (D, anti-codon, and T loops). Further hydrogen bonds mediate the characteristic L-shaped molecular structure. tRNAs have two regions of fundamental functional importance: the anti-codon, which is responsible for specific mRNA codon recognition, and the 3' end, to which the tRNAs corresponding amino acid is attached (by aminoacyl-tRNA synthetases). tRNAs cope with the degeneracy of the genetic code in two manners: having more than one tRNA (with a specific anti-codon) for a particular amino acid; and 'wobble' base-pairing, i.e. permitting non-standard base-pairing at the 3rd anti-codon position. Lineage: Bacteria; Bacillati; Actinomycetota; Actinomycetes; Propionibacteriales; Propionibacteriaceae. The record is from RNAcentral.
GGGCCUAUAGCUCAACAGGCAGAGCUACGGACUUUUAAUCCGCAGGUUCCGGGUUCGAGUCCCGGUGGGCCCACCA